CGCACAAGCGGUGGAUGAUGUGGUUUAAUUCGAUGCAACGCGAAAAACCUUACCCACCUUUGACAUGUACGGAAUUUUCCAGAGAUGGAUUAGUGCUCGAAAGAGAACCGUAACACAGGUGCUGCAUGGCUGUCGUCAGCUCGUGUCGUGAGAUGUUGGGUUAAGUCCCGCAACGAGCGCAACCCUUGUCAUUAGUUGCUACAUUCAGUUGGGCACUCUAAUGAGACUGCCGGUGACAAACCGGAGGAAGGUGGGGAUGACGUCAAGUCCUCAUGGCCCUUAUAGGUGGGGCUACACACGUCAUACAAUGGCUGGUACAAAGGGUUGCCAACCCGCGAGGGGGAGCUAAUCCCAUAAAACCAGUCGUAGUCCGGAUCGCAGUCUGCAACUCGACUGCGUGAAGUCGGAAUCGCUAGUAAUCGUGGAUCAGAAUGUCACGGUGAAUACGUUCCCGGGUCUUGUACACACCGCCCGUCACACCAUGGGAGCGGGUUCUGCCAGAAGUAGUUAGCCUAACCGCAAGGAGGGCGAUUACCACGGCAGGGUUCGUGACUGGGGUGAAGUCGUAACAAGGUAGCCGUAUCGGAAGGUGCGGCUGGAUCACCUCCUU
RNAcentral lists this ribosomal RNA (610 nucleotides) under uncultured bacterium. RNAcentral's name for it is "bacterial SSU rRNA". It matches the Rfam family "Bacterial small subunit ribosomal RNA", at positions 922 to 1532 of the family's 1533-position model. The record is from RNAcentral.